This is a non-coding RNA of Ceratotherium simum simum (southern white rhinoceros), 1404 nucleotides long. The record is from RefSeq and is a predicted model, not a curated record. Lineage: Eukaryota; Metazoa; Chordata; Mammalia; Perissodactyla; Rhinocerotidae.
CCUUCAGAGAUCUCCCCAAUACAAGACUUUAAAUAUCAUCAUCUAAAAUCAUGACUCUCACGUUGAAGCAUUACUCUACAAAGAUUUUAAACCGCAUAUUAAUAUGCUGUACCUUCUAGACUGUAUUUUGUUACGAUUCCAAUUCUCUUUGAUUCCUCAAAGUUACUUUAAAGGACGCCAAUUUAUUCUUCUUCUCUACAACGAUUUAUACAUGUUUUAAACUUUCUCCCAGAUUUGAUCACAACACAAAAAGAAGUUAUUACAAUCACGUUGGAGACCACACUAGUGACUACACGAGGAAUUUGGGAAGCACUGAUUAAAUAUAACAAAAACAGUCUUUUCUUUUUUAAGUAAAGAAAAGUGAAUCCUUGGGGUCUCCUUCCUGAACAAGGAAGUUCUGUUAAAUCCAGGCGAGACCAGCCAUGUUGGAAAACACUUGUCAAUUACAGUUGUGACAAGUGUUCGCGAACACCGUGGGAGGAAGCUAACCCUGUGCACCGAUGUGUGUGCAUCGAGGCCCUCUGCACCCCGCCCGAGGACCUGAGCCUACUUUGGGGACUGUUUCCGAGUUAGAGCUGUCCUCAGGUCCGCAAGGAGUGCGGAGCCGAGGGAAAAGAGGGCGGGGUUCCUCAUUCUGCGUGUUGAUAGUGCCCUAGUGAGCAAGAUCAAUGGCAGUGUAUGACCUCAUUCUCUGAUUGACUUGGAGUCUAAAAAAAAACCUGCUAAGCCUCCUCCCCCCUCACUCCCACCUUAUGUAUCUGCUGAGCACAUGACCUCCCAGCAACUCUUAGAGCUAGCUUUGGCCAUGUGGCUAAGUUCUGACCAAUGAACUGUGAGCAGAAGGGAUCACAUCCUCCUUAGGAAGCUGCUUGCCCUCCCUUCUCUCACUCUUCCUUUGCCCUGUCUGUGGGCUGAGACACAGACAUGAUGGUGGGAGUGAGCCAGCCUCAACCAUGCAUAGCAGGACUGCACCCUAGGAUGACAGAGCCACAGAAAGAAGAAGCCUGGGUCCCCGGAUUACCUCAUUUUGCCAUGCCACUCACCCCUACAGACUAACAACUCAGACUUUUUGUGCGUGAGAAAGAAAUCUUUUAUCUAGUUUCUCUCUUCUAAACCAGCCAAGUCAAUAUCCUAAUUAAUGCAGGUAAAAUAAACAAACAAACAAACACGGUUUCCUAUUUGCCAGAAAUCUGAGGCCCUCAGGUCCUUCAAUUUCCUGCCCCUCCAUCUAUAAACUAUAUCCGCACUCAUUUUUUUUCCCUAGGCAAGCUAAGCUUUCUACUAUGGCAGACUCUUAGGUGUCCUAUAAAAGGGAGGGAAAGACCAUAUAUGUACUAUUUUUUUCCUUCUCUUCUUGGGCACACGGCUGCCCAGCUGGAGACCACAUUUCCCAACCUCUUUUAU